UUUAAAAUGCAGGUUUCACCUCUGCUUCUUCUUGAUGUAACGUGCUUUAUGGAUGACACGCAAGCAUCUAAGGGUGAGGCAGCGAUGCAUGUCGGUGAAGAAGGCUGAGGGCAACAUGUGGAACAAGUUGGCUGGGAGUGAAAGCUGUUUCUCAGAAUUCACUGGUGGAGGCUGGUGGAAGUUGAAGGCAGAGGAUGUAGAUGGACGUUCGGGUUGCAGGCGCCUACUAGAAUUGUCAAGUGGAGGUGGAGUUUCAGGUCAACGGCGGGGACCAGAGAUGAAGAUUCAGGAAGCCUGCUAGUAUGGAGUAGACUGAAGGCUGGAGGCUGGACCAAGAAGGAGAUUGAGCAGGUUUCAAGAGCUGUCUUCCAGGAUGACAGGUGGAGGCCAGGGGUGGAGGUGGCUGUGGAGGGCUGAAGGAUUUUAGUUGCUAAAGGAGGCUGUAGAAAGAGGUGUGAACUGCAGCUGGCUGCCACAAACAGCAGGUAGAGGAGACACCUGCAGGAGGAGGCUCCUGCAGUUGACUGGCAAAUACUGGAGGUGGAUAUUGGGCCAGCUCUUUCUGCCAAACACUACAGAUGGAGGAAGCCCCUGUAGUAUACUGGCAGAGGCUGUAGGUGGACGUUUGGCCUCUCAGUGGGUGUUUGCCAGUAAAAUGCAGGCGUAGGAGGCUCCAGUAGUUUACUGGCAGAUGUAGGUGGAGGCUUGGCCAGCAGCUGCCUGCCAAACGCUACAGAGGUUUGGUCUGCAGCAGUCUGCCAGAAUAUACAGAAGGGGGACACACCUGCAGUAUAUUGGCAUGGGCUCCAGGUGGAGGUUUGGACUGAAGCAGUCUGCAAGUAAAAUACAGGUGGAGGAGACACCUGCAGUCUACUGCUAGAGGCUUCGGGCUUUAGGUACACACAUUUCAACUGCAAUGAACUGCAGGAGGAGGCUCCUGCAGUUCACUGGCAAAUACUGGAGGUGGAUAUUGGGCCAGCUCUUUCUGCCAAACACUACAGAUGGAGGAAGCCCCUGUAGUAUACUGGCAGAGGCUGUAGGUGGACGUUUGGCCUCUCAGUGUCUGCCAGUAAAAUGCAGGCGGAGGAGGCUCCCGCAGUUUACUGGCAGAGGUUGUAGGUGGAGGUUUGGCCUGCAGACAAAAAGAAGGUGGGCCCUGCAGUUUGCUGGCAGAGGCUGUGGAUUGUAGAUGUUAAGCCGAAUUUUAAAGUGGAGGUGAUUUUCAAGUCAACGGAACGGACCAGAGAUGGGGGUUCAGGAGGCUUGCUUGUCUUUAGAAGGCUGGACACCUCCUUUACUGGCAGGGUGAAGGAUCAGGCCUGGAGUUGGACCAAGCUGAAUUGACAGGUGCAGAUCAGGGAUGGAGGCUGUUAUGGAGUGCCGGCGGAUGAAAGUUGUUGAAAGUGGCCAGGGGAUUUGGUAUGUAAGUCGGCCUGUACAGUGCAGACGGAGGAUGCACCUAAGUUUCGUGGCAGAGGGUGUUGGUGGAGGCUUGGCCUGUAGCUGUCGACCAGUAAAAUGCAGUGGAGGCGGCAUCUGUGGUUUACUGGCAGAGGGUGUGGGUGGAGGUUCUGAAUAAUAUUGUCUGCAACAAUCUGCAGGUGGAGGCAGCACCUGCAGUUUAAUGCCGCAAGCUGUCAGUGGAGGUUUGAGUUUGCAGGUGGAACUGGAUACUUCUGGUAGAGCAUAUUAAAGCAGCUGUCUGCUGCCUGCUAGCGGAGGCUAGGACAGCAGAUGGCUGACAUAAUAUGAAAGUAAGAUUAAGUGCUUUUAAGUGAAAGAAGGUGCUUUGAACAGACCUUUGUUGAGGAUUGCACAGGCACUUCAGAUGCAGUAAGUGGAGAUAAUCGUGUUCCUGUCUUACAGAAUUGGAAGGUUGGAGCAUUAAUACAGAAAUACUAUCAAAUCAAAAAUAUACAACUAAAUACAACUUAAUACAGCUUAAUACAACUUAAUUAUUACAACAUGUAAAUUAUUUUAAUUUAAGUAAGUGAUUUCAAACUCAGAUAAAGUCCUUUCAAAAGAAUAAACAUUCUUAUUUGGAUCAUAGUGUUGAAUAUUACCUGGAGCUUCAGUGUUUCUGUUGCACCACCCAGCUGUCAAACUGGUCCCGCCACUCUAGAUAAAGCCUCAUGUCUAC
Molecule: long non-coding RNA, 2140 nt
Organism: Gasterosteus aculeatus aculeatus (three-spined stickleback)
Lineage: Eukaryota; Metazoa; Chordata; Actinopteri; Perciformes; Gasterosteidae
Source: Ensembl